This 253-nucleotide ribosomal RNA is filed under the name uncultured bacterium. Its description in RNAcentral is "partial 16S ribosomal RNA". It matches the Rfam family "Bacterial small subunit ribosomal RNA", at positions 524 to 776 of the family's 1533-position model. The record is from RNAcentral.
UACAGAGGGUGCAAACGUUGUUCGGAAUUACUGGGCGUAAAGCGCGUGUAGGCGGCAGCGCAAGUCGGAUGUGAAAUCCCCAGGCUCAACUUGGGAACUGCAUCCGAUACUGGAUGGCUUGAAUUCGGGAGAGGGAUGCAGAAUUCCAGGUGUAGCGGUGAAAUGCGUAGAUAUCUGGAGGAAUACCGGUGGCGAAGGCGGCAUCCUGGACCGACAUUGACGCUGAGGAGCGAAAGCUAGGGGAGCAAACGGG